UAAUCAAGGUGGGCCAUUUCCAUUACAAAUCCAGGUUUUAUUCCCCCCCUCCCCUUAGUGACUUGCCCAAAGCAGAAUAUUCUUUAGUCUUAUCUGAGAACUCAGGAAUUCUGGAGUCUAGGCUGUUUCUUAGUCCACUAGCCCAUUCUACCUUUGCGAUUGUGAAAUAGCAGAAAAAUUCCCAAGUAUCUGGUGGCCCUUGCACUCGGCAUUAAGCGCUGUUUAUUUUAUUUUAUUUUUUUUGCUUUAUGGGUUUGAGAUUUUUCAAGAAUUGCGUGAAGCUUUGAGAAUAACCUUUGCUGCUGUUUUUCCUCUCUGUAUGUUUUCUGCAUUUGACAUACUUAGCGCACUUUUUGAAAAAAGUCAAUAUUAGCUGUCUGUGUUGGAGUUCCGCACCAAUGCAGCUGUCUUGUAGCGAUGCCAUAAGUAUAUACCUCCAGAUUAUUUCUGAUUGGGUCUUCUGCAAAGUUCUUAUUUCAUAAAUACUGUGCCAAAAUAAGAACUCCCUUUUUGUAAACUUCCUUUGUUUAAUCAUUUCAUACUAUAUAGCAUGCCAUAUAAGCUAUAGUGUACAAAAUGUAUUUGAUCAAGAGUAACUUAGAGCAAUGAGCUAACUAGCUUGCAAUACUGUAUGUUUUAGAAUUAACUCUGUAAAUAUAAUACGUAGUUCUUUGGGUUGAAUUUGUAGUAAAAACUUGUUUAUCUCCAUUCAGUUACUCUUAAUGUAAAUGUAAGGGAUUAGUGAAGUAGGGAACUGAAAUUUUUCUAGAGUUACUACAAGAAAAAUUCACUGGGAAGAGAAAUCUGGGGGUCUCUGUUCUUAAAUAAUUUGACUUUAUGUUGCUGUGAAUUUUUAGUAACGGGAGAAGACCUUUACUGAUGAAAGUGGCAGUUCAGUGCUUCACAACCUUUUUCAAUACCUGGACUUCAUGUUAUGAACAGAAAAAUGUUUCAGGAUCCCUACCUCCAAUCUGCCCAUAAAGAAGGGGAGAGUGAUUUUGUCACUUCACUCCACCCUUGAAACCUGCUUGUGAUCCUUGGGUUGAGAAGCAGUGUGUUAGUCAAUCCAGGGAGGAGAGGGGUUUAAAAAGCCAGCUCCUAAGUGACCAGAGAAGCUAGCAAACAGAGGAGUUUUACAAGGGAGCUCUCCAGGUAUAAGAAGAGUGACUAUUGUGACCCUUGGGUACAUCAGGAACAGGAAGACUGCCAAACAAUCACUGGAGAAUCAGGGUGCUAAAUGAGCACUCAAGCAAGAGGAGGCCAUGAGGGAGAAGCUAAAUGAAUCCUUGCAUUGUUCUUCACUGCAGAGGAUGUGAGGGAGAUUCCCACUCUUGAGCCAUUCUUUUUAGGAAUUGCAACAACAGGGAGAAGAUGUCAACAAGAAUGGAAACAGUGGAAGCAGAACAACAACUUCAGUGAGGAAGCUGAGCGUAUAGAUGCUGUGAAUAUUUGCACUCUAUAUUGGACACAGUCUUACAGCCCUGGAUGAGUUCCCCUCGUGGAAGAUCACCAGUCUGCUUUAUUAGACCCAACAUUUGGAUCCCACAUGCUUUCAAGCCAACUGGGUCUGAGCAACAUCCAGACACUGUCUAGUUCUGGCAUCACA
Chelonia mydas (Green sea turtle) is the source of this 1606-nucleotide long non-coding RNA. RefSeq lists it as uncharacterized. NCBI's taxonomy places the organism in Eukaryota, Metazoa, Chordata, Testudines, Cheloniidae. The transcript has 4 exons. The record is from RefSeq and is a predicted model, not a curated record.